This 738-nucleotide ribosomal RNA is filed under the name Lacticaseibacillus paracasei. Its description in RNAcentral is "bacterial SSU rRNA". It matches the Rfam family "Bacterial small subunit ribosomal RNA", at positions 66 to 791 of the family's 1533-position model. Lineage: Bacteria; Bacillati; Bacillota; Bacilli; Lactobacillales; Lactobacillaceae. The record is from RNAcentral.
GCUUGCACCGAGAUUCAACAUGGAACGAGUGGCGGACGGGUGAGUAACACGUGGGUAACCUGCCCUUAAGUGGGGGAUAACAUUUGGAAACAGAUGCUAAUACCGCAUAGAUCCAAGAACCGCAUGGUUCUUGGCUGAAAGAUGGCGUAAGCUAUCGCUUUUGGAUGGACCCGCGGCGUAUUAGCUAGUUGGUGAGGUAAUGGCUCACCAAGGCGAUGAUACGUAGCCGAACUGAGAGGUUGAUCGGCCACAUUGGGACUGAGACACGGCCCAAACUCCUACGGGAGGCAGCAGUAGGGAAUCUUCCACAAUGGACGCAAGUCUGAUGGAGCAACGCCGCGUGAGUGAAGAAGGCUUUCGGGUCGUAAAACUCUGUUGUUGGAGAAGAAUGGUCGGCAGAGUAACUGUUGUCGGCGUGACGGUAUCCAACCAGAAAGCCACGGCUAACUACGUGCCAGCAGCCGCGGUAAUACGUAGGUGGCAAGCGUUAUCCGGAUUUAUUGGGCGUAAAGCGAGCGCAGGCGGUUUUUUAAGUCUGAUGUGAAAGCCCUCGGCUUAACCGAGGAAGCGCAUCGGAAACUGGGAAACUUGAGUGCAGAAGAGGACAGUGGAACUCCAUGUGUAGCGGUGAAAUGCGUAGAUAUAUGGAAGAACACCAGUGGCGAAGGCGGCUGUCUGGUCUGUAACUGACGCUGAGGCUCGAAAGCAUGGGUAGCGAACAGGAUUAGAUACCCUGGU